GAUCAUUUGAAAACACAUGUUAAAAGCCAAAUGGAUGCACAAGAGCUAAAAUAGGAGUUAUAGAUCCUGUUGGCAACAAUUAUCUGGCUAACUGUAUUGAUUUUGUAACAUUUGUUUCAAAUAUGACCAACUUCUUAUCCAAAAUCACCAGCACCGUAUCAGGACCCACCAGCACAAUGACAGGACCCACCAGCACAGUAUCAGGACAUGAAUAAAUUGAGAAAAUGCUAAAUUUUAAUAAAUUGCAAUGUUUUUUCACAAAAUUGUUUUGUCGUGUGGAUUGCGGUAUAGAAAGCGGACUCAAUGAGCAUUUUUGUUUUAUUUUUUCAGUUCGAGAUUUUCUGAAAAUGAGCAUUUUUGUGUUACGCUUACUGAAACAGUUUAGAGGGUCAAUUUUUUAAUGGUUUAUAUAUGGACCCAUAAGAAACGAAAUUGAAAAAUCUCAACUGUUUUCUUCCAUUUUUUAUGAGUGAAAACGUCAAAAAUCAUCAUUUUCGUCUUUGUUUACAUUUUUUCAUUGAUCACCAGCACCCGUCAGGACCGAAUCACCAGCACAGUACGUUCUCUCGCAGGACAACCAUACCCACCGUG
This 591-nucleotide long non-coding RNA is filed under the name Mytilus galloprovincialis (Mediterranean mussel). The record is from RNAcentral. Lineage: Eukaryota; Metazoa; Mollusca; Bivalvia; Mytilida; Mytilidae.